RNAcentral lists this ribosomal RNA (253 nucleotides) under uncultured bacterium. Its description in RNAcentral is "partial 16S ribosomal RNA". It matches the Rfam family "Bacterial small subunit ribosomal RNA", at positions 524 to 776 of the family's 1533-position model. The record is from RNAcentral.
AACGUAGGAGGCUAGCGUUAUCCGGAUUUAUUGGGCGUAAAGCGCGUGCAGGCGGUCUGACAAGUUGGAUGUGAAAGCUCCCGGCUUAACUGGGAGAGGUCGUUCAAAACUGUUAGACUAGAGAAUGGGAGAGGGAGGUGGAAUUCCGGGUGUAGUGGUGAAAUGCGUAGAUAUCCGGAGGAACACCAGUGGCGAAAGCGGCCUCCUGGACCACUUCUGACGCUAAGACGCGAAAGCUAGGGUAGCAAACGGG